AUUGAACGCUAGCGGCAGGCCUAACACAUGCAAGUCGAGCGGAUGAAGGGAGCUUGCUCCUGGAUUCAGCGGCGGACGGGUGAGUAAUGCCUAGGAAUCUGCCUGGUAGUGGGGGAUAACGUCCGGAAACGGGCGCUAAUACCGCAUACGUCCUGAGGGAGAAAGUGGGGGAUCUUCGGACCUCACGCUAUCAGAUGAGCCUAGGUCGGAUUAGCUAGUUGGUGGGGUAAAGGCCUACCAAGGCGACGAUCCGUAACUGGUCUGAGAGGAUGAUCAGUCACACUGGAACUUAGACACGGUCCAGACUCCUACGGGAGGCAGCAGUGGGGAAUAUUGGACAAUGGGCGAAAGCCUGAUCCAGCCAUGCCGCGUGUGUGAAGAAGGUCUUCGGAUUGUAAAGCACUUUAAGUUGGGAGGAAGGGCAGUAAGUUAAUACCUUGCUGUUUUGACGUUACCAACAGAAUAAGCACCGGCUAACUUCGUG
This 484-nucleotide ribosomal RNA is filed under the name uncultured bacterium. Its description in RNAcentral is "partial 16S ribosomal RNA". It matches the Rfam family "Bacterial small subunit ribosomal RNA", at positions 30 to 507 of the family's 1533-position model. The record is from RNAcentral.